Equus asinus (donkey) is the source of this 2587-nucleotide long non-coding RNA. NCBI's taxonomy places the organism in Eukaryota, Metazoa, Chordata, Mammalia, Perissodactyla, Equidae. The record is from Ensembl.
CUGCCCUGCAGGCUCGAGCCCACCAGGACGCCCGCGGGCCUAGGCCGGGGAGGGACAGUGAGGGACAGAGUGGGGCAUCGAGGGACAGUGUGGAACAGCAUGGGACCGAGUGGGACGGCGCGAGACAGUGAGGGACAGUAAGGCCAUGUUGGUGAGGGCCUUUCAUGGGAGAGUUGAGAGUGGGUCUGCCCGGCCACCUCUCCUCUGACCACAUGUUUGGCAAUCAAGGCCAGGCCCUGGUGGCAGUUGACCCGGCCAGGGCCACCUACCGGCUUCCAGAAGGAGCGCUCCCACCCCUACCCUGGCGUCCCCUUGAGUUCCCAAUCUCAUGUUUACCUAGACCCACUCCGACCUCAACAUCUCUUGGCGUUGGGGCAGCCACUGAUGCCCAAGGACAGCACGCCAGCAAGCCGCGGGAGGAGGUUUCUCCGGGCGCCAGUGAUGCAACUUAGGCUUAUAGUUUAACCGAAGAAGCUGUCCUUGGAGUGAGAACAGGGGAGGUUCUGGCUCGGAAACCUUAGAAUCAGACACUGCCUUCCCAAAGAUGUUGGUUCUGUCUCUCCUCUCCCAGUAAUACGAGUCAUGUAUGUGUUCUUCUAUUCUGGAUGAAAGAAGAAUGAGAAAAGUGAUGUGGUGACGACAAGCCUACACUCUGCGUGUUUCCACUGAGGAGCCUAUACAACCUUGAGCCAAAGAAGGGGAUCUGGCACAGUGCAGUUUCAGACACCAGCAGUUCUUGGAGAGAGACGCUGCUGGCAGGGAGCAUCUUCCCAGCAUCUCUGAAGGGAAGGGCGUCAGUUCUUCUAACUCUGGGACAUGAAGACCUGUACCUAUCCUUGGCAGUAAUUAUGGCUCAGACAGGAGACAAGAAGGCAGGCAGAGAGAGAGAGACAAAUGCAGAGUUUUGGUCAGCUCCUUGGUCUUCACCCACUCAGGGAUAAAUUCUACCACAUAAAGGAAAUGCUGAAUCAAAGGGACUGAACAUCUUUAAAAACUUUUUCAAUUGCCAAAGUGCAACCAGAUUAUUGGACCACUUGGGACAUCCACCAGCAGUACAGUGCCCAUUUGAUGACACACUCUCCAACUUCAGAUUUUUUGGCUUCCCUUGACUGUGACAGUUUCUCAGACUUCCUGUUUGUGAUGAUCUUCACAGUUUUGAGGUGCCUGGUCUGGUAUUUUGUCGAAUGUCCCUCAUUGGGAUUUAUCUAAUAUUUUUCUCAUGAUGUUAUUGGUUUUGGGGAGGAAGACCAUAGAGGUAAAGUGUCAUUUUCAUCACAUCAUAUCAAGGAUACAUGCUGUUACCAUGAUUUGUCACUGUUGAUGUUGACCCUGACCUGAGGAAUACAGAGCCUUUUUUUUUUUUUUGAGGAAGAUUAGCCCUGAGCUAACUGCUGCCAAUCGUCCUCUUUUCGCUGAGAAAGGCUGGCCCUGAGCUCACAUCCGUGUCCAUCUUCCUCUACUUUAUAUGUGGGACGCCUACCACAGCAUGGGUGCCAAGCGGUGCCAUGUCCGCACCUGGGAUCCCAACCGGCGAACCCCGGGCCCCCAAAGCGGAACUUGCACACUUAACCACUGAACCACUGGGCCGGCCCCUACAGUGCCUUUUAAAGCCCAUACAAACAAAAUCAGUGAUGUUGAGGUCAGGUCAACUAUUCUGAACAAAAUUUGGAGGUUCAAGUAAUCUUUGAAUCCUCGUGAAAACUGUGCAGUAGCUGGAAGAACUGUUGUGUUCGUUGCAGUUCAUGGACCUGGAUGAUAUGCUGAUGGGAAUUCCCUAAGUGUAAGGGUAAUUUUAUUCACUGUGUUUUUGGUGAUGUCACGAGUUAGGAAUUAAAGUUAGAACAGAAAGUCUUAAGAGCAGUUCUUUAAAAUAUUUAUGUAGCAUAUUGUUUGAACUACAGACAUUUUUGCUUGCAUCGCCAUGGGGGUAAGAACAUCUGUGUGUGUCUGUAUCCCAGAUGUAGCCUUUGAUUUUCUCGAAUUGUUCUGCAGAGGAACACAUCUUAUCUAGAAACGAUUCAGCUGUCUUGUUUCCAUUAUUCUUGUUUCCAUUCAGUGGGUAAACCUUUUGAAUGCCUGAGCAGUUAAAUUCCCCACAUCCUACAUUUAUCAUUUCCAGGAGCCAAUAAGAAAGGUUAGUAAAGUGAAUCUGAAUGAUUUAUUUGUACAGAACGGAUGAAUUUCCUCUUAGUCGUACAUCCGACACCCACAUGAUACCUCAUCUCUGAUGCUGGGAAGGAAGAUUUUCAGGAGAAAUUUGAUGCCCAAUUAGUGUGUUUUAAUUUAGUCAGUGGAAUUUCCAUCUGGCUCUAAUGUGUAUUCUGGAGGGUUAGACUAGAACAGAGUUGAACAAUUUAUUGGUUUGUGAGGUGAGGUCAGUAGGUACAAAGAACAUUUCACACAAGCAGGAUUUUAGACAUGCUGAGGUUUUCACCUCUUUUUGUUAGUUACAGGAUAGUUGGGGACAGAGAAAGCACAUGCUACUUAUUUUGUGAUUAAGCACUUAAUAUAAAUAGUUUAAAAUAAGAAACAACUUCACAAAAAUAGAUGAUAGAUGUCUUCUCUUCUAAAGAAAUUGGAAAUUUAC